AUUGAACGCUGGCGGCAUGCCUUACACAUGCAAGUCGAACGGCAGCACGGAGCUUGCUCUGGUGGCGAGUGGCGAACGGGUGAGUAAUAUAUCGGAACGUACCCAAGAGUGGGGGAUAACGUAGCGAAGGUUACGCUAUUACCGCAUACGAUCUAAGGAUGAAAGCAGGGGACCGCAAGGCCGUGUGCUCCUGGAGCGGCCGAUAGCGGAUUAGCUAGUUGGGGAGGUAAAGGCUCACCAAGGCAUCGAUCAGUAGCUGGUCGGAGAGGACGACCAGCCACACUGGAACUGAGACACGGUCCAGACUCCUACGGGAGGCAGCAGUGGGGAAUUUUGGACAAUGGGGGCAAACCUGAUCCAGCAAUGCCGCGUGAGUGAAGAAGGCCUUCGGGUUGUAAAGCUCUUUUGUCAGGGAAGAAACGGUGAAGGCUAAUAUCCUUUGCUAAUGACGGUACCUGAAGAAUAAGCACCGGCUAACUACGUGCCAGCAGCCGCGGUAA
This 500-nucleotide ribosomal RNA is filed under the name uncultured bacterium. Its description in RNAcentral is "partial 16S ribosomal RNA". It matches the Rfam family "Bacterial small subunit ribosomal RNA", at positions 30 to 523 of the family's 1533-position model. The record is from RNAcentral.